UACGAAGGGGGCUAGCGUUGUUCGGAAAUACUGGGCGUAAAGCGCACGUAGGCGGCGCAGCAAGUCAGGGGUGAAAUCCCGGGGCUCAACCCCGGAACUGCCCUUGAAACUGCAGUGCUAGAAUUCUGGAGAGGCGAGUGGAAUUCCGAGUGUAGAGGUGAAAUUCGUAGAUAUUCGGAAGAACACCAGUGGCGAAGGCGACUCGCUGGACAGACAUUGACGCUGAGGUGCGAAAGCGUGGGGAGCAAACAGG
Molecule: ribosomal RNA, 253 nt
Filed under: uncultured bacterium
Lineage: Bacteria
Description: partial 16S ribosomal RNA
Rfam family: Bacterial small subunit ribosomal RNA
Source: RNAcentral